This 1345-nucleotide long non-coding RNA is filed under the name Cricetulus griseus (Chinese hamster). Its description in RNAcentral is "lncRNA (ENSCGRG00015034795.1)". Lineage: Eukaryota; Metazoa; Chordata; Mammalia; Rodentia; Cricetidae. The record is from RNAcentral.
CCUGGAUCAACAGAUGGCGUUUCCAGCGCAAAAAAUGUCAGGUCCCAAAGAAACCUUGGACAAGUCUCACCCAGUACUCACCCACACUUCUCACCCCGCUCCCCACCCUAAACCUCUCCUCUCCAGGGGCUGGACUUCCCUUCCCCCAGCUUCUGAUUCUUGUAUAACUCAGCCAUUUUGGCCGCCCACUCUCUUGGGCCUCUCCUGGCUUCGUCAUCUGCUCCUCCCUUGGUCCACGUGCGCCCUCUCUAUUCUCUCUCCUCUCGUGGCCUGGCUCAUUCUGAAUUUCCAGAUACCUCUUGUCUGUGCUCUCUCCCUCAUACCUAUAAUAAAACCGCUCUCCCCAGCCAUACCUAGAAGCAGUGAUGUUCUCAUUUUCAUUCAGAAGGCAUGAGCAUAACGCAAAGGGAAAAAGUGGGCAACAGCCUUGCCCCCCUCCUCCCGUGACAAAACGGGCCGUGGGCCCUCUUUUAGUUCCCGGAAGCUAUCCCAUCAUGUGUUAGGCUGGAGACAACAGGGGAGGCAAGCGGCUUAGAACUGUUCUCCAAACAAGUGCCCCAGCGCGUGCGCGCCCACGUAAGGCUGCCCAGUUCUUGCAGGUCUGGAUGGAAGCUGUUUCCCCCACUUCCUUUAUCUGGGUGAGGAGCCACCAGUGACUUGGUCAAACUUUUCACUAUGUACAAGUUGCAGUCACCCUUCAGUCUCGGUUUGUAUGCUCAGAAGUGGGGUCCUGGAGCUCGGGGGCGGCAUCUCGGGGGACGUUCCACAAGCUGAGCGGGGUGCAGGGAAUGAGUGGGCGGCUGGAUGAAUGAGGCUGCGCAGCUCCAAGCUUGGAGAGCCGUGGGACAGACGAGGAGGGAGAGUGUAAAGGAAGGGGCAAAGGAGGAGUCAACACCUGUUACCUCGUGUUAAUCCUCAGGAUGAACAUCCUAAGAAUGUUUGUAACUCCCUCAACACAACCCGGCAGUGGAGGGGCGCUACUUUCACCCCACAUUAUACAUGAAGACACUGAGGGUCAAGAAGAGCCCUGUGCCCAGGCGGUAGUUGGAGACAACUGACCUUGAAGAAUUUUUUUUUUAAGUGCUGAAAAUCCAACCUAAGCUUUCAUGCACGAAAAGCAAGCCCCUACCACUGAGUUGCACCCACCACUCAAACUUGACUUCUUCAAGGCCACAUGGCAAGAAGUUGGCAGAGGUGGAACUGGAAUCUGCGGACCUAACUUUGAAAUUAUUUAAUAAGUACUGCAUACCUAACCUCCUGGGUCAGGAAGUGGAGAGGGAGGACUCCCUGCCACAGAGCGCAGGCCCAUUCAGACCCAGCCUGUACCCCUGCUCCUUUGCUUUGU